This 463-nucleotide long non-coding RNA is filed under the name Struthio camelus australis. Its description in RNAcentral is "lncRNA (ENSSCUG00000000932.1)". Lineage: Eukaryota; Metazoa; Chordata; Aves; Struthioniformes; Struthionidae. The record is from RNAcentral.
AAUGUGACAAAAAUGACAGGAGCAAAUAUCAUUUUGGGGCCAUUUCAGAGAGCUGCGGAGGGUGACAGCUCCUCACUGUGCUGUGACAGCAGAAUCCGAGAGACGGCUGCUGCUGAGCAUCGCGUGCUGCUGCCCAGCAGGGAAAGGCAGACCAUGGUUUUGCAGUGAUGAAGCCAGACAGCCCUUCCAGCCCUCCAGAAAACCGGGAGGUUUGGAAAGAGCGUGCUGAGAUGACGGGGACCACUGCCUGGCUGGCAAGUGUCAGCCCUUCUCUCGAUGCCAUCUCCAGAGCCUGUUUCCACAGCUCCUCUGGCUGGAGGGAGAACCAAGAGAGAAAUCAGAGAGAAAAUACCCUGAGAUUCAUUCAGCAAUACACUGGAUGAAGUAUACAGCAAAUUAGCCAAGGACGUGGCAGGGCAAGGUGUGCUGUUCAAUUUCUCUUGCACUGGCCAGUGCUGCCCUG